Molecule: antisense RNA, 75 nt
Filed under: Streptomyces sp. ADI95-16
Lineage: Bacteria; Bacillati; Actinomycetota; Actinomycetes; Kitasatosporales; Streptomycetaceae
Description: ASpks TB sRNA
Rfam family: ASpks TB sRNA
Source: RNAcentral
UUUGAUCGAGCCGAGCAGGAGCGGCCGGUCCCCCGGCCGGUCCUGCCCGUACGUGGCCAGCAGCGCCUGGGCUUC